AGUGAACGCUGGCGGCGUGGUUAAGACAUGCAAGUCGAGCGACCCAUUCUUCGGAAUGGGGAGCGGCGAACGGGUGCGUAACACGUGAGUGACCUGCCUUUAAGUGGGGGAUAACCCGUCGAAAGACGGAUUAAUACCGCAUGUGGUCCUAUAUUUAAAUAUAUGGGUACUAAAGCUUGUGAAGGCGCUUAAAGAGGGGCUCGCGGCCUAUCAGCUAGUUGGUGAGGUAAUGGCUCACCAAGGCUAAGACGGGUAGCCGGUCUGAGAGGAUGAUCGGCCACACUGGAACUGAGAUACGGUCCAGACACCUACGGGUGGCAGCAG
Molecule: ribosomal RNA, 324 nt
Filed under: uncultured bacterium
Lineage: Bacteria
Description: bacterial SSU rRNA
Rfam family: Bacterial small subunit ribosomal RNA
Source: RNAcentral